GACGAACGCUGGCGGCGUGCUUAACACAUGCAAGUCGAACGGUAAGGCCCUUCGGGGUACACGAGUGGCGAACGGGUGAGUAACACGUGGGUGAUCUGCCCUGCACUUCGGGAUAAGCCUGGGAAACUGGGUUUAAUACCGGAUAGGACCACUGCCUGCAUGGGUGGUGGUGGAAAGCUUUCGCGGUGUGGGAUGGGCCCGCGGCCUAUCAGCUUGUUGGUGGGGUAAUGGCCUACCAAGGCGACGACGGGUAGCCGGCCUGAGAGGGUGACCGGUCACACUGGGACUGAGAUACGGCCCAGACUCCUACGGGAGGCAGCAGUGGGGAAUAUUGCACAAUGGGCGCAAGCCUGAUGCAGCGACGCCGCGUGAGGGAUGACGGCCUUCGGGUUGUAAACCUCUUUCAGCUAUGACGAAGCGCAAGUGACGGUAGUAGCAGAAGAAGGACCGGCCAACUACGUGCCAGCCGCCGCCGUAA
This 478-nucleotide ribosomal RNA is filed under the name uncultured bacterium. RNAcentral's name for it is "partial 16S ribosomal RNA". It matches the Rfam family "Bacterial small subunit ribosomal RNA", at positions 28 to 523 of the family's 1533-position model. The record is from RNAcentral.